UAGUGGCGAACGGGUGAGUAACACGUGGGCAAUCUGCCCUGCACUCUGGGACAAGCCCUGGAAACGGGGUCUAAUACCGGAUACGAGCCUCCCGGGCAUCUGGGAGGUUGGAAAGCUCCGGCGGUGCAGGAUGAGCCCGCGGCCUAUCAGCUUGUUGGUGAGGUAACGGCUCACCAAGGCGACGACGGGUAGCCGGCCUGAGAGGGCGACCGGCCACACUGGGACUGAGACACGGCCCAGACUCCUACGGGAGGCAGCAGUGGGGAAUAUUGCACAAUGGGCGCAAGCCUGAUGCAGCGACGCCGCGUGAGGGAUGACGGCCUUCGGGUUGUAAACCUCUUUCAGCAGGGAAGAAGCGAGAGUGACGGUACCUGCAGAAGAAGCGCCGGCUAACUACGUGCCAGCAGCCGCGGUAAUACGUAGGGCGCAAGCGUUGUCCGGAAUUAUUGGGCGUAAAGAGCUCGUAGGCGGCUUGUCGCGUCGAUUGUGAAAGCCCGGGGCUUAACUCCGGGUCUGCAGUCGAUACGGGCAGGCUAGAGUGUGGUAGGGGAGAUCGGAAUUCCU
Molecule: ribosomal RNA, 564 nt
Filed under: Streptomyces sp. 418C01
Lineage: Bacteria; Bacillati; Actinomycetota; Actinomycetes; Kitasatosporales; Streptomycetaceae
Also listed under: 2 other names
Description: bacterial SSU rRNA
Rfam family: Bacterial small subunit ribosomal RNA
Source: RNAcentral